RNAcentral lists this unclassified non-coding RNA (374 nucleotides) under uncultured Pseudomonadota bacterium. Its description in RNAcentral is "uncultured proteobacterium contains 16S-23S intergenic spacer region". The record is from RNAcentral. Lineage: Bacteria; Pseudomonadati; Pseudomonadota.
UCCGGUUUGUCACCGGCAGUCUCACUAGAGUGCCCGUUACCGUAGCAACUAGUGACAAGGGUUGCGCUCGUUGCGGGACUUAACCCAACAUCUCACGACACGAGCUGACGACAGCCAUGCAGCACCUGUGUCCAGGCUCCCUUUCGGGCACACCGAACUCUCAUCCGGCUUCCUGGCAUGUCAAGGCCUGGUAAGGUUCUUCGCGUUGCAUCGAAUUAAGCCACAUACUCCACCGCUUGUGCGGGCCCCCGUCAAUUUCUUUGAGUUUUAAUCUUGCGACCGUACUCCCCAGGCGGAAUGCUUAAAGCGUUAGCUGCGCCACUAGUGAGUAAACCCACUAACGGCUGGCAUUCAUCGUUUACGGCGUGGACUAC